This 69-nucleotide transfer RNA is filed under the name Lithax obscurus. RNAcentral's name for it is "tRNA-Met". Lineage: Eukaryota; Metazoa; Arthropoda; Insecta; Trichoptera; Goeridae. The record is from RNAcentral.
UAAAAAAUAAGCUAAAUAAGCUAAUGAGUUCAUAUCUCAUUUAUAAAAGUCAAAAUCUUUUUUUUUUAA